UUGCCUGCCUCACUCACGACGGCUUUUGCCUAUUCCCUGCCUGUACUGUUGCCAUUUUUGGACCUACCGCGUAUGACCUUCUGCCUGGCCCUGGACCCAGCUACCUGCCUCCUCCUCCUAUGGUCCGUUUCAUUAAACCCCUGCUGCGGUUUUGCUAUCCACAAGGUUUGCUAUCCACCUGGAUUCAGCUGGAUUCAGCUGCUCUUCUCUGGUCUAUGGUCCAGGAGGCUUUCAUCUCUAGACCGCUGAUGCUGAGGGAGGUUAUAGGGUGGUUUUGGAAAUGUUUUACCAGAUGGUGUCAUACAGCAAUGUCUCAUGUUGAAGGAUGCUCUUCAACCCCACAUCCCCUUGACUUCCACUCCUCCCUCCUUCAACACCUCCGCUCUCUCUCCUCCCAGGUUUGUUACCCCAUACAAACAAGAUAAAGCAAUGUCUCAUGUUGAAGGAUGCUCUUCAACCCCACAUCCCCUUAACUGCCACUCCUCCCUCCUUCAACACCUCCUCCUCUCUCUCUCCUCCCAGGACACCAUACAUACACAGUGUGUGUGUGUGAGGAGACAUCUGAGGCUCAUAUUGUUCUUGUUUCCCAGAAUUCCAUGCUGCUCGCUCCCGGUGCUUAACAUAGUUGGCAGUUCUCUUCAUCCUCCUAACUACACAGUAUGGCCUUUUUUUUUUUU
Long non-coding RNA from Oncorhynchus tshawytscha (Chinook salmon), 677 nucleotides. The record is from Ensembl. NCBI's taxonomy places the organism in Eukaryota, Metazoa, Chordata, Actinopteri, Salmoniformes, Salmonidae.